AAUUAUCAAUCUAGUAAUUGAUUGGACUUGGGAUUUGCUGGCUUUGAGUAGUCAGCUAUCCUUAAAUGUAUUGUAUUGACGUGCACGGCCUGUCUCCGGUGAUAAAUGAUCCGUUGGUCCGGGCUGGAAGCGUCAAUUAGACAUAAGUGUUUACACUUGACA
Molecule: unclassified non-coding RNA, 162 nt
Filed under: uncultured Octaviania
Lineage: Eukaryota; Fungi; Basidiomycota; Agaricomycetes; Boletales; Boletaceae
Description: sequence contains ITS2
Source: RNAcentral